This 417-nucleotide ribosomal RNA is filed under the name uncultured bacterium. RNAcentral describes it as "bacterial SSU rRNA". It matches the Rfam family "Bacterial small subunit ribosomal RNA", at positions 769 to 1179 of the family's 1533-position model. The record is from RNAcentral.
UUAACCGGAUUAGAUACCCUGGUAGUCCACGCCGUAAACGAUGUGCACUAGACCGAUGCGGGUCUGACCCCGUGUCGGUCGUAGAGAAAUUAUUAAGUGCACCGCCUGGGGAGUACGGUCGCAAGACUAAAACUCAAAGGAAUUGACGGGGGCUCACACAAGCGGUGGAGCAUGUUGCUUAAUUCGAAGCAACGCGAAGAACCUUACCAGGGCUUGACAUGCAUGGAUUAGCUCAUGGAAACAUGAGUAACGCCUUUUAGGUGGAACAUGCACAGGUGCUGCACGGCCGUCGUCAGCUCGUGCUGUGAAGUGUCGGGUUAAGUCCCUUAACGAGCGCAACCCUUGUCGCUAGUUGCCAGCGCGUAAUGGCGGGGACUCUAGCGAGACUGCCGGUGUCAAACCGGAGGAAGGUGGGGA